RNAcentral lists this ribosomal RNA (497 nucleotides) under uncultured bacterium. RNAcentral's name for it is "partial 16S ribosomal RNA". It matches the Rfam family "Bacterial small subunit ribosomal RNA", at positions 28 to 507 of the family's 1533-position model. The record is from RNAcentral.
GAUGAACGCUGGCGGCUUGUCUAAUACAUGCAAGUCGAGCGAACAGACGAGGAGCUUGCUCCUCUGACGUUAGCGGCGGACGGGUUAGUAACACGUUGAUAACCUACCUAUAAGACUGUGAUAACUUCGGGAAACCGGAGCUAAUACCGGAUAAUAUAUUGAACCGCAUGGUUCAAUAGUGAAAUACGGUUUUGCUGUCACUUAUAGAUGGAUCCGCGCCGCAUUAGCUAGUUGGUAAGGUAACGGCUUACCAAGGCAACGAUGCGUAGCCGACCUGAGAGGGUGAUAGGACACACUGGAACUGAAACGCGGUCAAGGCUCCUAAGGGAGGCAGCAGUAGGGAAUCUUCCGCAAUGGGCGAAAGCAUGACGGAGCAACGCCGCGUGAGUGAUGAAGGUCUUCGGAUCGUAAAAAUCUGUUAUUAGGGAAGAACAAAUGUGUAAGUAACUAUGCACGUCUUGACGGUACCGAAUCAGAAAGCCACGGCUAACUACGUG